Molecule: regulatory RNA element, 219 nt
Rfam family: T-box leader
About the family: Uncharged tRNA acts as the effector for transcription antitermination of genes in the T-box leader family. T-boxes are found upstream of many aminoacyl-tRNA synthetase genes and some amino acid biosynthetic genes usually in Gram-positive bacteria. The anticodon of a specific tRNA base pairs to a specifier sequence within the T-box motif, and the NCCA acceptor tail of the tRNA base pairs to a conserved bulge in the T-box antiterminator hairpin.
Source: Rfam
UUAAAUGUGUUGAAGAAAAAUUAGUAGGCGACAAACAAUACAGAAAGACUGCAUUUGAUGAGAGUAGUCACAAGUCAGCUGAAUUCAUUUUCUGAACUGAUAUUGGGAGUUACAAUUAACGAAAAAUAAUCCGGUAUUCCACCGUUAUGGAUUUUGAGUGUAUGAAUUGCGAACCGCAAUUUAUAAACUAGGGUGGUACCGCGAAGCUUCGUCCCUUUU